This 497-nucleotide ribosomal RNA is filed under the name uncultured bacterium. Its description in RNAcentral is "partial 16S ribosomal RNA". It matches the Rfam family "Bacterial small subunit ribosomal RNA", at positions 28 to 507 of the family's 1533-position model. The record is from RNAcentral.
GAUGAACGCUGGCGGCGUGCCUAAUACAUGCAAGUCGAGCGAACAGACGAGGAGCUUGCUCCUUCGACGUUAGCGGCGGACGGGUGAGUAACACGUAGGUAACCUACCUAUAAGACUGGGAUAACUUCGGGAAACCGGAGCUAAUACCGGAUAAUAUUUCGAACCGCAUGGUUCGAUAGUGAAAGAUGGCUUUGCUAUCACUUAUAGAUGGACCUGCGCCGUAUUAGCUAGUUGGUAAGGUAACGGCUUACCAAGGCAACGAUACGUAGCCGACCUGAGAGGGUGAUCGGCCACACUGGAACUGAGACACGGUCCAGACUCCUACGGGAGGCAGCAGUAGGGAAUCUUCCGCAAUGGGCGAAAGCCUGACGGAGCAACGCCGCGUGAGUGAUGAAGGUCUUCGGAUCGUAAAACUCUGUUAUUAGGGAAGAACAAACGUGUAAGUAACUGUGCACGUCUUGACGGUACCUAGUCAGAAAGCCACGGCUAACUACGUG